Molecule: long non-coding RNA, 811 nt
Organism: Anguilla rostrata (American eel)
Lineage: Eukaryota; Metazoa; Chordata; Actinopteri; Anguilliformes; Anguillidae
Exons: 3
Source: RefSeq, a predicted model, not a curated record
GGAAAGCCGGAGGUGCCCUGUGCAAGGUCAGAAGCACUCAGUGUGUAAUAAGAGGGAGGGAGUGCAGCGGCCAUUAUCUUCCCUGUGACAGCGCGGCAGUGCAGUGACCUGGCAUGCCAACAAAUGGAGGGGAAAACUUGCCAAGAUGUAAAUCCCCACUCCAGUCCCCAGGGGAACAGGGAAUCUGCAGGAUAAAAAUGCACUGGUCUGGAAGAACCAGCCCCACCAAGAUCAGAAAUGACAGGGAGAGUUUGGGAAGGUCAGUAGGGGGCAGCAGAGCGUUGCGGCACAAGGACGCUCAUUACUCAGUGGUUGCUGGUCUCUCGCCAUUCUGCCAAGAGCAACCUGUUGAACUGCAGCAAUUGUCUCUGUUUAAUAAUUUCAGUCUUUACUCAAAUGCAGCAUGGCGGGCUACAUGGUCUCCAUCCUGUUAGAUACUGGAGCCAGUGUGAGCCUCCUUGACCACCCCUGGAAGAACAAGUACAUACCUGGGCAAGAUGUUAGAUCCCUCAGUGAACUCAUCGACAAAGACCUUGACAUCACAGGAAACGAAGUAUCGUAUGAUAGAUAGGUUGAAGUGGUAAUAAACUUGCAAGGUAAUGAUGAUCCAGACUUAUCCAUUCGAGCACCCUUCCUGGUGAAUUGCCUGAAAUUAGACAGACCAUUAGUUGGUUUUUACUGUACUCCAAGAAUUUGUUAAGAGCAGUGAGAGCAGACAUAAACUCAUAUCUACCUUCAUCAGCCUCCUUGCUGGAGCCAUGGAGAUCGACAGUGUCAGGCAAUAGUGAGUUUCAUCCAGACCUAGAAAUGU